AGGAUUAACGCUGGCGGCGUGCCUGACACAUGCAAGUCGAACGAGGCCGCAAGGCCGAGUGGCGGACGGGUGAGUAACACGUGACCAACCAACCUCGAAGUUGGGAAUAGCUCUGCGAAAGUAGGGGUAAUACCGAAUGUGGCCCAGGGCAGGCAUCUGCCUUGGUCUAAAGAUUCAUCGCUUCGAGACGGGGUCGCGGCCUAUUAGCUUGUUGGUGGGGUAACGGCUCACCAAGGCGAUGAUGGGUAGCUGGUCUGAGAGGACGACCAGCCACACUGGGACUGAGACACGGCCCAGACUCCUACGGGAGGCAGCAGUGAGGAAUCUUCCGCAAUGGGCGAAAGCCUGACGGAGCAACGCCGCGUGUGGGAUGAAGGCUCUAGGGUUGUAAACCACUGUCGGAGGGGACGAUCGUGACGGUACCCUCCAAGAAAGCCCCGGCUAACUACGCGCCAGCAGCCGC
RNAcentral lists this ribosomal RNA (463 nucleotides) under uncultured bacterium. Its description in RNAcentral is "SSU rRNA". It matches the Rfam family "Bacterial small subunit ribosomal RNA", at positions 26 to 518 of the family's 1533-position model. The record is from RNAcentral.